This is a non-coding RNA of Ceratotherium simum simum (southern white rhinoceros), 91 nucleotides long. Lineage: Eukaryota; Metazoa; Chordata; Mammalia; Perissodactyla; Rhinocerotidae. The record is from RefSeq and is a predicted model, not a curated record.
AUGUUCACUGCAGCAUUAUUUACUAUAGCCAAGACUUGGAAACAACUUAAGUAUCCAUUGACUGAUGAGUGGCUAAAGAUGUGGUAUAUAU